AUCUUCUUGUUACAAGAACUCUGUUAAAAUUGAAAUUCCUGGGUUUCUGGGUUUAGCAAUCAUGCCAGCAGGGUACAAACUGGAAGUAGAGAAAAUGCACUUAUUCUUUUGGAUAUGGGUGGACCUCUUUCUUAAUGUCCAGUACUCAUCGUCUGAAAGAUUUUGUGCCACAGCC
Molecule: small nucleolar RNA, 175 nt
Filed under: Leptobrachium leishanense (Leishan spiny toad)
Lineage: Eukaryota; Metazoa; Chordata; Amphibia; Anura; Megophryidae
Description: Small nucleolar RNA SNORA81 (ENSLLEG00000006128.1)
Rfam family: Small nucleolar RNA SNORA81
Source: Rfam by way of RNAcentral